UGAGAUUGCAAGCUCACCAUUUGUUGUCAC
Molecule: non-coding RNA, 30 nt
Filed under: Rattus norvegicus (Norway rat)
Lineage: Eukaryota; Metazoa; Chordata; Mammalia; Rodentia; Muridae
Source: RNAcentral